This is a small nuclear RNA of Pteropus vampyrus (large flying fox), 101 nucleotides long. The record is from Ensembl. NCBI's taxonomy places the organism in Eukaryota, Metazoa, Chordata, Mammalia, Chiroptera, Pteropodidae.
GUACCCUCUUUGGCAGCACAUAUACUAAAAACUGAAACAACACAGAGAGUAGCAUACUGCACAAGGAUGACAUGAAAAUUUGUAAAGCAUUUCAAUUUUUU